UGAAUUUUGGCCCAAAGGCUGAACGUGAUUCUAAUUCUCCAAGUCAUGUCCACAAAGAAAUUCAAUGCAUUAUGCAUUCUGAUAAACUUAUAGGAAACUUUCUAAUUUUAUGGUAGAUCAAGCAAACACCCACCACCAGUUCAUGCAUGAUGGCUAGGAAAAAAGAGUUAUCCAUGACACAUGUGAAGAGAUAUGUUCCAAGUACAUAUGAUUUAAGCAACUGUCUUUUCCCAAAACAUCAUCUAGCACACAGUCACAUAGGGAACAAUAUCCAAGCAAUUUAUUGCUGACUUUUCACAAGCUAUUGAGUUAACCUAUAAAGAAUUGUAUAUUGGUAUUAAAGUUUGCAUGACCAACUUACUUGUGCUCAGAUUCUUCUUGUAUGAAUGCAUGAAGUGCCUCGACUACUAUGGAA
Molecule: unclassified non-coding RNA, 415 nt
Filed under: Hevea brasiliensis (rubber tree)
Lineage: Eukaryota; Viridiplantae; Streptophyta; Magnoliopsida; Malpighiales; Euphorbiaceae
Source: RNAcentral